UCGACUUGGAGGUUGUGCCCUUGAGGCGUGGCUUCCGGAGCUAACGCGUUAAGUCGACCGCCUGGGGAGUACGGCCGCAAGGUUAAAACUCAAAUGAAUUGACGGGGGCCCGCACAAGCGGUGGAGCAUGUGGUUUAAUUCGAUGCAACGCGAAGAACCUUACCUGGUCUUGACAUCCACGGAAGUUUUCAGAGAUGAGAAUGUGCCUUCGGGAACCGUGAGACAGGUGCUGCAUGGCUGUCGUCAGCUCGUGUUGUGAAAUGUUGGGUUAAGUCCCGCAACGAGCGCAACCCUUAUCCUUUGUUGCCAGCGGUCCGGCCGGGAACUCAAAGGAGACUGCCAGUGAUAAACUGGAGGAAGGUGGGGAUGACGUCAAGUCAUCAUGGCCCUUACGACCAGGGCUACACACGUGCUACAAUGGCGCAUACAAAGAGAAGCGACCUCGCGAGAGCAAGCGGACCUCAUAAAGUGCGUCGUAGUCCGGAUUGGAGUCUGCAACUCGACUCCAUGAAGUCGGAAUCGCUAGUAAUCGUGGAUCAGAAUGCCACGGUGAAUACGUUCCCGGGCCUUGUACACACCGCCCGUCACACCAUGGGAGUGGGUUGCAAAAGAAGUAGGUAGCUUAACCUUCGGGAGGGCGCUUACCACUUUGUGAUUCAUGACUGGGGUGAAGUCGUAACAAGGUAACCGUAGGGGAACCUGCGGUUGGAUCACCUCCUUACCUUAAAGAAGC
This 733-nucleotide ribosomal RNA is filed under the name Shigella flexneri. Its description in RNAcentral is "bacterial SSU rRNA". It matches the Rfam family "Bacterial small subunit ribosomal RNA", at positions 812 to 1533 of the family's 1533-position model. Lineage: Bacteria; Pseudomonadati; Pseudomonadota; Gammaproteobacteria; Enterobacterales; Enterobacteriaceae. The record is from RNAcentral.